GACGAACGCUGGCGGCGUGCCUAAUACAUGCAAGUUGAGCGCUGAAGGUUGGUACUUGUACCGACUGGAUGAGCAGCGAACGGGUGAGUAACGCGUGGGGAAUCUGCCUUUGAGCGGGGGACAACAUUUGGAAACGAAUGCUAAUACCGCAUAAAAACUUUAAACACAAGUUUUAAGUUUGAAAGAUGCAAUUGCAUCACUCAAAGAUGAUCCCGCGUUGUAUUAGCUAGUUGGUGAGGUAAAGGCUCACCAAGGCGAUGAUACAUAGCCGACCUGAGAGGGUGAUCGGCCACAUUGGGACUGAGACACGGCCCAAACUCCUACGGGAGGCAGCAGUAGGGAAUCUUCGGCAAUGGACGAAAGUCUGACCGAGAAACGCCGCGGGAGGGAAGAAGGUUUUCGGAUCGUAAAACUCUGUUGGUAGAGAAGAACGUUGGUGAGAGUGGAAAGCUCAUCAAGUGACGGUAACUACCCAGAAAGGGACGGCUAACUACGUG
RNAcentral lists this ribosomal RNA (497 nucleotides) under uncultured bacterium. RNAcentral describes it as "partial 16S ribosomal RNA". It matches the Rfam family "Bacterial small subunit ribosomal RNA", at positions 28 to 507 of the family's 1533-position model. The record is from RNAcentral.